Molecule: long non-coding RNA, 394 nt
Filed under: Homo sapiens (human)
Lineage: Eukaryota; Metazoa; Chordata; Mammalia; Primates; Hominidae
Description: non-protein coding lnc-FAM177A1-4:1
Source: RNAcentral
AAAGAUGAACCGACUGGGCACGGUGGCUCACGCCUGUAAUCCCAGCACUUUGGGAGGCCAAGGCGGGUGGAUCACCUGAGGUCAGGAGUUGAAGACCAGCCUGGCCAACAUGGUGAAACCCCAUCUCUACUAAAAAUGCAAAAAUUAGCCGGGUGUGGUGGCAGGUGCCUGUAAUCCCAGCUAGUUGGGAGGCUGAGUCAAGAGAAUUGCUUGAACCCGGGAGGUGGAGGUUGCAGUGAGCUGAGAUCUUGCCAUUGCACUCCAGCCUGGGCGACAGAGUGAGACUCCUCGAAAACAAAAAAGAAAAAGAUGACCCAUGCAGUGGAAUAGUGGUUUAAUUUUACUUAUAUUUAUAGAUACACAGAUUAAAAUAUUUAUCUUCCAGAUUGGUAAA